RNAcentral lists this long non-coding RNA (1219 nucleotides) under Gallus gallus (chicken). Its description in RNAcentral is "lncRNA (ENSGALG00010000337.1)". The record is from RNAcentral. Lineage: Eukaryota; Metazoa; Chordata; Aves; Galliformes; Phasianidae.
GGGCGGCUCCUCCCCGCGCCUCGGGCAGCUCGGGCAGCUCGGGGCCGUGCGGGGACGGCCGUGCGGGGACGGCGAGCCCCGGGCCCCGCGCCGCCCGUGUGCGGGCCGUGCGAUCGCCGCUAACGGCCGGCCCCGCUCGGUGCGUUGCAGCCGGGAGCGCCUGGCACCGCGCUGACCGUCCGCCCGUGGAGCCGGCAGCGGAGGACGAGCGGCGGCACGACGAGGACCGGCACGACGACGACGACGACGACGACGACGACGAGGACGAGCGGAGCCUGCGGACGGCCCUCAAGAAGCUGCGGCUGGACGCGGCGCGGCGGCACGAGGACGAGGAGGAGCAGCAGCAGCAGCAGCAGGACGACGACGAGGACGAGGACGAGGACGACGAGGAGGAGCGCAGCCUGCGGACGGCCCUCCAGGAGCUGCGGGUGGACGCGGCGCGGUGUGAGAGGACUGCAGGAGGACCGGCCGGUCUCUCACGGCACGGACGUUCCAGGUCUCCUGUCCUGUAUCCUCCCACGUUUACGCACUGCGGCACAAAACACAAAACCCGGUCACACACACCAAAGACUCACGUCCGUUCCAGUGUUUGUGCUACAGCAGAACACGGCACAGAGGACAGACACAGUCCUCACUUUGAGGCCAGCCAUGGCAGAAGAGCCACAGCUGAACCUCUGCUGAACCACCGCUGCGGGGCCUGUGGGGAAGUCACGGGAGAACUGCCUCGCUCUGCCCUCAUCGUCUCACUCUGACUCACACAACAGCCAAACCUCACUUUUCCUUUCCUUAUCCACGCUUCACAGAUCCAUCUGUGAAACAGCCCUGUGCAGCCCUCCCGCAUCCCGUUCUGUGGAGGCUCACGCUUAUGUCAGUGACGUGACUGUGGAAGACCUGGCAGGGUACCUGGAACACCAUCUGCAUAUACCAAAGAAAAUGUCUGCCAUGGCAGAAAUGAUGUAUUCAUAACCAAACAGCAAAAACAGUCACAGUACUAAGCGCUAUCAGAAAUUUAAAUGGCUCGUUUGUGCCAUAUUUGUAAUGUUCUGUUUCAUCAAAUGUCUUAUUACACGGUACAGUUUAGUUUUGUAAUUAAGAGAAAAACUGUACAUAGUUGCAUAGACUCCUGUGGCUGAAAUGAUGUAUACUUAACUGAAAGCCAUACUCAGUCACAUAGUAAUACAGUUUAUUUUUGUAACUCGAAUAAAAACUGUAUAUAGUC